RNAcentral lists this ribosomal RNA (715 nucleotides) under uncultured archaeon. RNAcentral describes it as "bacterial SSU rRNA". It matches the Rfam family "Archaeal small subunit ribosomal RNA", at positions 102 to 817 of the family's 1478-position model. The record is from RNAcentral.
GGACAACCUGCCCUCGGGUGGGGGAUAACCCCGGGAAACUGGGGCUAAUCCCCCAUAGGGGAUGGGUACUGGAAUGUCCCAUCUCCGAAAGCGCUUAGCGCCCAAGGAUGGGUCUGCGGCGGAUUAGGUUGUUGGUGGGGUAACGGCCCACCAAGCCGAAGAUCCGUACGGGCCAUGAGAGUGGGAGCCCGGAGAUGGACCCUGAGACACGGGUCCAGGCCCUACGGGGCGCAGCAGGCGCGAAACCUCCGCAAUGCGGGAAACCGCGACGGGGUCAGCCGGAGUGCUCGCGCAUCGCGCGGGCUGUCGGGGUGCCUAAAAAGCACCCCAUAGCAAGGGCCGGGCAAGGCCGGUGGCAGCCGCCGCGGUAAUACCGGCGGCCCGAGUGGCGGCCACUUUUAUUGGGCCUAAAGCGUCCGUAGCCGGGCUGGUAAGUCCUCCGGGAAAUCUGGUCGCUUAACGAUCAGACUGCCGGAGGAUACUGCCAGCCUAGGGACCGGGAGAGGCCGGGGGUAUUCCCGGGGUAGGGGUGAAAUCCUGUAAUCCCGGGAGGACCACCUGUGGCGAAGGCGCCCGGCUGGAACGGGUCCGACGGUGAGGGACGAAGGCCAGGGGAGCGAACCGGAUUAGAUACCCGGGUAGUCCUGGCUGUAAACGAUGCGGACUAGGUGUCACCGAAGCUACGAGCUUCGGUGGUGCCGGAGGGAAGCCGUUA